Molecule: ribosomal RNA, 253 nt
Filed under: uncultured bacterium
Lineage: Bacteria
Description: partial 16S ribosomal RNA
Rfam family: Bacterial small subunit ribosomal RNA
Source: RNAcentral
UACGUAGGAUGCAAUAGUUGUCCGGAUUUAUUGGGUUUAAAGGGUGCGUAGGCGGCCUAUUAAGUUAGUGGUGAAAACGUUCGGCUUAACCGGAUAAUCGCCAUUGAUACUGAUAGACUUGAGUGCGACAGAGGGUGUUGGAAUGUGUGGUGUAGCGGUGAAAUGCUUAGAUAUCACGCAGAACACCAAUUGCGAAGGCAGAUGCCUAUGUCGUAACUGACGCUGAGGCACGAAAGCGUGGGGAGCAAACAGG